RNAcentral lists this ribosomal RNA (441 nucleotides) under uncultured bacterium. RNAcentral's name for it is "partial 16S ribosomal RNA". It matches the Rfam family "Bacterial small subunit ribosomal RNA", at positions 338 to 795 of the family's 1533-position model. The record is from RNAcentral.
CCUACGGGGGGCAGCAGUGGGGGAUAUUGCACAAUGGGGGGAACCCUGAUGCAGCGACGCCGCGUGGGUGAAGGAGUGCUUCGGCAUGUAAAGCCCUAUCGGCAGGGAAGAAGCAAGACGGUACCUGACUAAGAAGCCUCGGCUAACUACGUGCCAGCAGCCGCGGUAAUACGGAGGGGGCGAGCGUUAUCCGGAUUCACUGGGUGUAAAGGGAGCGUAGGCGGUAAUGCAAGCCAGGGGUGAAAGCCCGGGGCUCAACCCCGGGACUGCCCUUGAAACUGGGCGGCUAGAGUGCGGUAGGGGCAGGGGGAAUUCCUGGUGUAGGAGUGAAAUGCGUAGAUAUCAGGAGGAACACCGGCGGCGAAGGCGGCCUGCUGGACCGCGACUGACGUUGAGGCUCGAAAGCGUGGGGAGCGAACAGGAUUAGAGACCCCAGUAGUC